Molecule: ribosomal RNA, 391 nt
Filed under: uncultured bacterium
Lineage: Bacteria
Description: bacterial SSU rRNA
Rfam family: Bacterial small subunit ribosomal RNA
Source: RNAcentral
AUUGAACGCUGGCGGCAUGCCUUACACAUGCAAGUCGAACGGCAGCACGGGGGCAACCCUGGUGGCGAGUGGCGAACGGGUGAGUAAUGCAUCGGAACGUGUCCUCUUGUGGGGGAUAACCAGUCGAAAGAUUGGCUAAUACCGCAUGAGAUCGAGAGAUGAAAGCGGGGGACCCGAGGGCAACUUCGGGCCUCGCGCGAGAGGAGCGGCCGAUGCCGGAUAGCUAGUUGGUGGGGUAAAAGCCUACCAAGGCGACGAUCCGUAGCUGGUCUGAGAGGACGACCAGCCACACUGGGACUGAGACACGGCCCAGACUCCUACGGGAGGCAGCAGUGGGGAAUUUUGGACAAUGGGCGCAAGCCUGAUCCAGCCAUGCCGCGUGUGUGAAGAA